AAAGCGUGCGCAGGCGGUUAUAUAAGACAGAUGUGAAAUCCCCGGGCUCAACCUGGGAACUGCAUUUGUGACUGUAUAGCUAGAGUACGGUAGAGGGGGAUGGAAUUCCGCGUGUAGCAGUGAAAUGCGUAGAUAUGCGGAGGAACACCGAUGGCGAAGGCAAUCCCCUGGACCUAUACUGACGCUCAUGCACGAAAGCGUGGGGAGCAAACAGGAUUAGAUACCCCGGU
This 230-nucleotide ribosomal RNA is filed under the name uncultured bacterium. RNAcentral describes it as "partial 16S ribosomal RNA". It matches the Rfam family "Bacterial small subunit ribosomal RNA", at positions 562 to 791 of the family's 1533-position model. The record is from RNAcentral.